Molecule: ribosomal RNA, 301 nt
Filed under: uncultured bacterium
Lineage: Bacteria
Description: partial 16S ribosomal RNA
Rfam family: Bacterial small subunit ribosomal RNA
Source: RNAcentral
CAGUAGCCACGGUAAUACCGAGGGUGCAAGCGUUAAUCGGAAUUACUGGGCGUAAAGCGCGCGUAGGUGGUUUGUUAAGUUGGAUGUGAAAGCCCCGGGCUCAACCUGGGAACUGCAUCCAAAACUGGCAAGCUAGAGUACGGUAGAGGGUGGUGGAAUUUCCUGUGUAGCGGUGAAAUGCGUAGAUAUAGGAAGGAACACCAGUGGCGAAGGCGACCACCUGGACUGAUACUGACACUGAGGUGCGAAAGCGUGGGGAGCAAACAGGAUUAGAUACCCGCGUAGUCCCUGUCUCUUAUAC